RNAcentral lists this long non-coding RNA (3281 nucleotides) under Salmo salar (Atlantic salmon). Its description in RNAcentral is "lncRNA (ENSSSAG00000101347.1)". The record is from RNAcentral. Lineage: Eukaryota; Metazoa; Chordata; Actinopteri; Salmoniformes; Salmonidae.
CUCACAGACAGGAAGACAGUGAGCAGCACCUGUGUAACCUCACAGACAGGAAGACAGUGUUCAACGUGCUUCAUUCAGAACAACCUUUGGUCCGACAGAAAACAACAUUCAUUCAAACCAUUAUGCAACCUCUCUGUUGGAGUUAGAGGCUGGGGACGAUGUUGACAGUGGAACACUUUGUAACCUCCGGACUAAACUGUUGCUGUUAGCAGGUACUAUGUCUUUUUGUAACACUGUCUAUGGGUUGUUUAGAACAAACAGUGGGACCUCUAAGAUGAUAGAGGGAGAGAGAGACACGGGACCAGAACAGGACAGUUCUUUUGUGUCAGUGUUUUUGGAGGAAAUGUAAAGGAUACAUUUUAUACAAAAGUGAAGCCGCUUCAAAUACCCAAAACCCCUUGUCCCCUGAGCCUUCCCAAUCCCAAACAUAUACCCAGCCCUGCCCAGCCUCUACACUCACGUCACCUGGUCUAACCUAUUCAUGACAGGAUAUACCCAGCCCUGCCCAGCCUCUACCCUCGCUUCACCUGGUCUAACCUAUUCAUGACAGGAUAUACCCAGCCCUGCCCAGCCUCUACCCUCGCUUCACCUGGUCUAACCUAUUCAUGACAGGAUAUACCCAGCCCUGCCCAGCCUCUACCCUCGCUUCACCUGGUCUAACCUAUUCAUGACAGGAUAUACCCAGCCCUGCCCAGCCUCUACCCUCGCUUCACCUGGUCUAACCUAUUCAUGACAGGAUAUACCCAGCCCUGCCCAGCCUCUACACUCACUUCACCUGGUCUAACCUAUUCAUGACAGGAUAUACCCAGCCCUGCCCAGCCUCUACCCUCACUUCACCUGGUCUAACCUAUUCAUGACAGGAUAUACCCAGCCCUGCUUAGCCUCUACACUCACGUCACCUGGUCUAACCUAUUCAUGACAGGAUAUACCCAGCCCUGCCCAGCCUCUACCCUCACUUCACCUGGUCUAACCUAUUCAUGACAGGAUAUACCCAGCCCUGCCCAGCCUCUACCCUCACUUCACCUGGUCUAACAUAUUCAUGACAGGUCUAACCUAUUCCUGACAGGUCUGGUCUAACCUAUUCCUGACAGGUCUGGUCUAACCUAUUCCUGACAGGUCUGGUCUAACCUAUUCCUGACAGGUCUGGUCUAACCUAUUCAUGACAGGUCUGGUCUAACCUAUUCCUGACAGGUCUGGUCUAACCUAUUCCUGACAGGUCUGGUCUAACCUAUUCAUGACAGGUCUGGUCUAACCUAUUCAUGACAGGUCUGGUCUAACCUAUUCCUGACAGGUCUAACCUAUUCAUGACAGGCCAGGUCUAACCUAUUCAUGACAGGCCAGGUCUAACCUAUUCAUGACAGGCCUGGUCUAACCUAUUCAUGACAGGCCUGGUCUAACCUAUUCAUGACAGGCCAGGUCUAACAUAUUCAUGACAGGCCAGGUCUAACAUAUUCAUGACAGGCCAGGUCUAACCUAUUCAUGACAGGCCUGGUCUAACCUAUUCAUGACAGGCCAGGUCUAACCUAUUCAUGACAGGCCUGGUCUAACCUAUUCAUGACAGGUUUGGGUAAAUAACAGGAGAAAUGUGAUGACUAAAACACCAGAGAACUGGGGAGAAAAUAGGAGUCAACGUCAUAAACUGACUGACAUACAAUGAGUGUACAAAACAUUAAGAACACCUUCCUAAUAUUGACUUGCACCCUUUUGCCCUCAGAACAGCCUCAAUUUGUCGGGGUAUGGACUCUACAAGGUGUUGAAAGCGUUCCACGGGGAUGCAGUUGUGUCAAGUCAGCUGGAUGUCCUUUGGUUGGUUAACCAUUCUUGAUACACACGGGAAACUGUUGAGCGUGAAAAACCCAGCAACGUUGCAGUUCUUGACACAACGGUGCGCCCAGCACCUACUACCAUACCCUGUUCAAAGACACAUUUUUCUUGCCCACUCACCCUCUGAAUGUCCCACAUACACAAUCCAUGUCUCAAUUGUCUCAAGUCUUAAAAAUCCUUCUUUAACCUGUCCUUCACUGAUUGAAAUGGAUUUAACAAGUGACAUCAAUAAGGGAUAAUAGCUUUCACCUGGUCAGUCUAGGGGUGGCAGGUAGCCUAGUGGUUAGAGCGUUGGACUAGUAACCAAAAGGUUGCAAGAUCGAAUCCCUGAGCUGACAAGGUACAAAUCUGUCGUUCUGCCCCUGAACAAGGCAGUUAACCCACUGUUCCUAGGCCGUCAUUGAAAAUAAGAAUUUGUUCUUAACUGACUUGCCUAGUUAAAUAAAAGUAAAACGUAAUGGAAAGAACAGGUGUUUUUGUACACUCAUAAUGUUUUGUACACUCAGUGUAUAUGUAAAUAAAUGAAAUGUAUACACACAUUGAAAUGAAUUUCAAACCCAUUGAAGUGAAUGUAAUGUAUUUCAACACAGGGUAUUACAUUUGUAAAAAUGAAUCAAUCACUCACCACCAGCAUUUACUACAGGACUGAGUUCACGUCUCCGUGUUUCACAGCUGUGUUGUGAUUGGAUACGUUUUGCAGUUCUGGGCUCUCAUUGGAUGAUUUUGCCAGUUGUGGGCUUUCAUCUCACCCUGUGUCACUUGUUCUCAUUGAGUUAUUUGUUGUAAAUUGUCGCCAGCUGUUACUGUGUUAGACUGUCCUAUUAGGUCUCUGUUCUGUCUGUCACUCUGUCAGACUGUCCUAGCAGGACUCUGUUCUGACUGUCACUCUGUCAGACUGUCCUAGCAGGUCUCUGUUCUGACUGUCACUCUGUCAGACUGUUCUAGCAGGACUCUGUUCUGACUGUCACUCUGUCAGACUGAUCUAGUAGGACUCUGUUCUGACUGUCACUCUGUCAGACUGUCCUAGCAGGACUCUGUUCUGUCUGUCACUCUGUCAGACUGAUCUAGUAGGACUCUGUUCUGACUGUCACUCUGUCAGACUGUCCUAGCAGGACUCUGUUCUGUCUGUCACUCUGUCAGACUGUCCUAUUAGGACUCUGUUCUGACUGUCACUCUGUCAGACUGUCCUAGCAGGUCUCUGUUCUGACUGUGCUAGCAGGACUCUGUUCUGACUGUCCUAGCAGGUCUCUGUUCUGACUGUCCUAGCAGGUCUCUGUUCUGACUGUCCUAGCAGGUCUCUGUUCUGACUGUCCUAGCAGGUCUCUGUUCUGACUGUCCUAGCAGGUCUCUGUUCUGACUGUCCUAGCAGGUCUCCACAGCAUUCUGGGAGUACUGUUCUGUCUGUAAAGUCAAAUCCCCUGGUUGCUCGUUUUAUGUUUUCUAUUGUAAACAAUGAG